CGUGUAGGCGGAGAUGCAAGUUGGGAGUGAAAUCCAUGGGCUCAACCCAUGAACUGCUUUCAAAACUGUAUCCCUUGAGUAUCGGAGAGGCAAGCGGAAUUCCUAGUGUAGCGGUGAAAUGCGUAGAUAUUAGGAGGAACACCAGUGGCGAAGGCGGCUUGCUGGACGACAACUGACGCUGAGGCGCGAAGGCGUGGGAGCAAACA
This 206-nucleotide ribosomal RNA is filed under the name uncultured bacterium. Its description in RNAcentral is "partial 16S ribosomal RNA". It matches the Rfam family "Bacterial small subunit ribosomal RNA", at positions 568 to 774 of the family's 1533-position model. The record is from RNAcentral.